This is a long non-coding RNA of Pezoporus occidentalis (night parrot), 436 nucleotides long. RefSeq lists it as uncharacterized. The transcript is spliced from 2 exons. The record is from RefSeq and is a predicted model, not a curated record. Lineage: Eukaryota; Metazoa; Chordata; Aves; Psittaciformes; Psittacidae.
GUUGGACAGGGCUUGGAGCAACCUGGUCUAGUGGAAGGUGCUCCCAACCAUGGCACGGGGUUGGGACUGAAUAAGCUUUAAGGUCUCUUCCAACCCAUAUACGCUAUGAUUCUACGAUUUGCUCAGCCUAAUAAUCUAGAAAGUGCACUACAUUACGCAGCACAGGAGCUCCUGACUACCUCUGAAGACCUCUUGUGUACACACACAGAAAAAUAUCCAAAUCAACUGAUGCCUUCAAAUAAUGAAUGGAGCAAAGUUUGAUUUCAGCAAAAGAUGUCCACUGCACUGGAAGCAAAGCCACUCUUACUAUCAGCAUAGCUAACUUGACAAUAAAGGCUUCAGGUGAAACUGAAGAUGGGGACAAGCCAAGUUCAUCAGCAGAUCAGUUGAAUCAACUGCUAAACUGAUUUUGUUAUUAAAGACACACGCACGAAAA